AUUAGCAGCCAUAUCACCCUGCAAUUCACAACUGGCAGCCCACUGAAGCUCAGCAGGUGUGAGCCUGGUCAGUACCUGGAUAGGAGUCCUCCUGGGAAAAACUAAGGUUGCUGCUGGAA
RNAcentral lists this ribosomal RNA (119 nucleotides) under Lepisosteus oculatus (spotted gar). The record is from RNAcentral. Lineage: Eukaryota; Metazoa; Chordata; Actinopteri; Semionotiformes; Lepisosteidae.